GGCCCCGUGGUGUAGCGGCCUAACACGCCACCCUGUCAAGGUGGAGAUCGUCGGUUCGAAUCCGAUCGGGGUCGCCA
RNAcentral lists this transfer RNA (77 nucleotides) under Dehalococcoidia bacterium. RNAcentral describes it as "tRNA-Asp". It matches the Rfam family "tRNA". From Rfam's summary of the family: Transfer RNA (tRNA) molecules are approximately 80 nucleotides in length. The record is from RNAcentral. RNAcentral also lists the same sequence under 1 other name. Lineage: Bacteria; Bacillati; Chloroflexota; Dehalococcoidia.